This 977-nucleotide non-coding RNA is filed under the name Corvus moriorum antipodum. Its description in RNAcentral is "12S ribosomal RNA". It matches the Rfam family "Bacterial small subunit ribosomal RNA". Lineage: Eukaryota; Metazoa; Chordata; Aves; Passeriformes; Corvidae. The record is from RNAcentral.
AAAGACUUAGUCCUAACCUUACUGUUGGUUUUUGCCAGAAUUAUACAUGCAAGUAUCCGCGUUCCAGUGUAGAUGCCCUAGGCACCCUUUAACCAAGUCGAUAGGAGCGGGUAUCAGGCACACACAACUGUAGCCCAAGACGYCUUGCACUUGCCACGCCCCCACGGGUACUCAGCAGUGGUUAACAUUAAGCAAUGAGUGUAAACUUGACUUAGUCAUGGCAACCUUAAGGGUCGGUAAAUCCUGUGCCAGCCACCGCGGUCAGACAGGAGACUCAAAUUAACAGUAUAACGGCGUAAAGGGUGGUAACAUGCUAUCCAAGUAACUAAGAUUAAAAAGCAACUGAGCUGUAAUAAGCCCAAGAUGCUCAUAAGGCCAACUACCAAAGAAGAUCUUAGACUGAYGAUUGAUUGAAAUCCACGAAAGCCAGGGCCCAAACUGGGAUUAGAUACCCCACUAUGCCUGGCCCUAAAUCUUGAUGCUCUAUGCUACCUGAGCAUCCGCCCGAGAACUACGAGCACAAACGCUUAAAACUCUAAGGACUUGGCGGUGUCCCAAACCCACCUAGAGGAGCCUGUUCUGUAAUCGAUGAUCCACGAUAUUACCUGACCACUCCUUGCUGAGUCAGCCUACAUACCGCCGUCGCCAGCCCACCCCCCCUGAUGGUUCAACAGUGAGCGCAAUAGUCCYUACACACUAGUAAGACAGGUCAAGRUAUAGCCCAUGGAGUGRAAGCAAUGGRCUACAUUUUCUAGAUUARAACAUUACGGCAAAAGGGUCUGAAAUGGCCYUUAGAAGGCGGAUNNNNNNNNNNNRUNNNNNNNNNNNNNNNNNNNUAAGCYGGCUCUGGGAYGYGUACAUACCGCCCGUCACCCUCCUCACAAGCGACCCAAACCCCAAUACAUUAAUACGCUAUCCAGCUAAAGAGGAGGCAAGUCGUAACAAGGUAAGUGUACCGGAAGGUGCACUUAGACAAC